This 441-nucleotide ribosomal RNA is filed under the name uncultured bacterium. RNAcentral describes it as "bacterial SSU rRNA". It matches the Rfam family "Bacterial small subunit ribosomal RNA", at positions 958 to 1398 of the family's 1533-position model. The record is from RNAcentral.
AACGCGAAGAACCUUACCUGGGUUUGACAUGCGCAGGACGCCAGUAGAGAUAUUGGUUCCCUUGUGGCCUGUGUGCAGGUGGUGCAUGGCUGUCGUCAGCUCGUGUCGUGAGAUGUUGGGUUAAGUCCCGCAACGAGCGCAACCCUUGUCUCAUGUUGCCAGCGCGUUAUGGCGGGGACUCGUGAGAGACUGCCGGGGUCAACUCGGAGGAAGGUGGGGAUGACGUCAAGUCAUCAUGCCCCUUAUGUCCAGGGCUUCACACAUGCUACAAUGGCCGGUACAAAGGGCUGCGAUGCCGUGAGGUUAAGCGAAUCCUUUAAAGCCGGUCUCAGUUCGGAUCGGGGUCUGCAACUCGACCCCGUGAAGUCGGAGUCGCUAGUAAUCGCAGAUCAGCAACGCUGCGGUGAAUACGUUCCCGGGCCUUGUACACACCGAGACGAC